UUUAUGGAGAGUUUGAUCCUGGCUCAGAGUGAACGCUGGCGGCGUGCCUAAUACAUGCAAGUCG
This 64-nucleotide ribosomal RNA is filed under the name Campylobacter coli. RNAcentral describes it as "partial 16S ribosomal RNA". It matches the Rfam family "Bacterial small subunit ribosomal RNA", at positions 1 to 64 of the family's 1533-position model. RNAcentral also lists the same sequence under 1 other name. The record is from RNAcentral. Lineage: Bacteria; Pseudomonadati; Campylobacterota; Epsilonproteobacteria; Campylobacterales; Campylobacteraceae.